RNAcentral lists this small nucleolar RNA (212 nucleotides) under Salix viminalis (osier). It matches the Rfam family "Plant small nucleolar RNA U3". From Rfam's summary of the family: Small nucleolar RNAs (snoRNAs) are involved in the processing and modification of rRNA in the nucleolus. There are two main classes of snoRNAs: the box C/D class, and the box H/ACA class. U3 snoRNA is a member of the box C/D class. The record is from RNAcentral. Lineage: Eukaryota; Viridiplantae; Streptophyta; Magnoliopsida; Malpighiales; Salicaceae.
ACGACCUUACUUGAACAGGAUCUGUUCUAUAGGAUCGUACCUCUGUAUCCUUUAUCACUAAGGAGACAGGAACCUAAGCCUGGUUGAUGAACCAGGACCGUGUGAUCAUAGCGUGAUUAGUGGCUUGAUUAUCCUUGGAUGAUCGUGGCCGCAGAGGAUCGUUCCCGAGCCAUCAUGUGGCUGGGGAUGGUCAUGCGGUUGUCUGACAGGCU